Molecule: non-coding RNA, 733 nt
Organism: Camelina sativa (false flax)
Lineage: Eukaryota; Viridiplantae; Streptophyta; Magnoliopsida; Brassicales; Brassicaceae
Source: RefSeq, a predicted model, not a curated record
UAUUAUAACGUACCAAUAUGACUACGAUUGCUAGUGGUGAUGAGUUCAAGCUGUUUGUCGUCAAUCAUCCAAAUCUCUUUAAUCGAGUUUCUUUAUCUCACGUUAAGUAGCAAAAGAAUUUGUAGUCGUUCCUGCUAAAGAGCCAUACUGUUGCUUAAUUUUGUUGUUUCAUCCCUUUUUGAUAAACCGUUUUAUCAAUUUCUAAGUGAGUUGACAUAGUCGUCACAAUAUCGAAUCUGCAAAUAGCACCAUUUGCAUAGUAUCCAAACUAAUCAUACAUAUAUGAUCGCCAAUUUAAUUUGUGUCUAUAGUUUUCCAUAUAUAACAGUAUAACACAAGUGCAAGAUGAGAAGAGGAUGCUCUAUUGGCAAUUAAGGGUGAGCAGCAGUAGCGUCUAUGGUUAUCAACGGGAGGCUCAAGAUGAUCCAAAACAGAGAGAGGACCCGAUUGUUUGAAAUCAUAACACCUGAGGUUUAUAAUAAACCAAGAAACCCUUUUCGAGGAUAUGGUCACGAUCUCUGAGGAUCAAAAUCAUCGGAUACUAUUUGUGACAUUUGGUCUCAAACACUUUAAUAUCAUGUGGUAAUAUGGAGUUGUUUUGAUUAAGACAAUAUUUGAUGAAAGCUUUAGAUAGGAAAAACAAAUGUUUGUUUAAGACUUUGAUCUUGACAAGAAAUCGCUUUGGUUUUAAUUUCUAAUAGUAGACUAUAGCUUAAUUUGUGUCUUUAGACUC